AUUCCAGCUCCAAUAGCGUAUAUUAAAGUUGUUGCAGUUAAAAAGCUCGUAGUUGGAUUUCUGGGCUGAGCGACCGGUCCGCCGCUGUGCGGUGUGUACUCGUGUUCGACUCGGCUCAUCCUUGUGGGGAAACGCAUUUCGGCAUUAGGUUGUCGAGGCGGGGAACCGCAUCGUUUACUGUGAAAAAAUUAGAGUGUUUAAAGCAGGCAAAUUGCUGUGAAUACAUUAGCAUGGAAUAAUAACAUAGGACUUUGGUUCUAUUUUGUUGGUUUGCGCAUCAAGGUAAUGAUUAAUAGGGUCAGUUGGGGGUAUUCGUAUUCCGUUGUCAGAGGUGAAAUUCUUGGACUUACGGAAGACGAACGACUGCGAAAGCAUUUACCAAGGAUGUUUUCAUUA
RNAcentral lists this ribosomal RNA (396 nucleotides) under Stramenopiles sp. MAST-3D. RNAcentral's name for it is "partial small subunit ribosomal RNA". It matches the Rfam family "Eukaryotic small subunit ribosomal RNA", at positions 582 to 975 of the family's 1831-position model. The record is from RNAcentral.